RNAcentral lists this ribosomal RNA (544 nucleotides) under Lachnum sp. RNAcentral's name for it is "eukaryotic LSU rRNA". The stretch from base 193 to 346 matches the Rfam family "5.8S ribosomal RNA". Lineage: Eukaryota; Fungi; Ascomycota; Leotiomycetes; Helotiales; Lachnaceae. The record is from RNAcentral.
GUGCGUAGUGACCUGCGGAGGACAUUACAGAGUUCAUGCCCUUCGGGGUAGAUCUCCCACCCUUGUGUAUCAUUAUAGAAUGUUGCUUUGGCGGGCCGCGCCUCGUGCGUCUAGAUUUGCGUCUAGCGUGCCCGCCAGAGGACCCUUUAAACUCUGAAUGUUAGUGUCGUCUGAGUACUAUUAAAUAGUUAAAACUUUCAACAACGGAUCUCUUGGUUCUGGCAUCGAUGAAGAACGCAGCGAAAUGCGAUAAGUAAUGUGAAUUGCAGAAUUCAGUGAAUCAUCGAAUCUUUGAACGCACAUUGCGCCCCCUGGUAUUCCGGGGGGCAUGCCUGUUCGAGCGUCAUUUAUACCAAUCUAGCCUGGCCUAGGUGUUGGGCUCCGCCGUCUGGCGGGCCUUAAAACUAGUGGCGGUGCUCUUAGGCUCUACGCGUAGUAAUUUUCUCGCUAUAGGGUCCUGGGAGAUGCUGGCCAGCAACCCCAAAUUUUUCUAGGUUGACCUCGGAUCAGGUAGGGAUACCCGCUGAACUUAAGCAUAUCAAAA